CCUGACUGCUAUCGGAUUGGUACUAAGCCAUGCGAGUGAUCGUAGCAAUACGACGCAGACGGCUCAGUAACACGUAGUCAACCUAACUCGUGGACGUGGAUAAUCUCGGGAAACUGAGGAUAAACCGCGAUAGAUAACGGUGCCUGGAAUGGCCCAUUGUCCAAACAGUUUACUGCCACGGGAUGGGACUGCGGCCUAUCAGCUUGUUGGUGAGGUAAUGGCCCACCAAGGCUAUAACAGGUACGGGCUCUGAGAGGAGAAGCCCGGAGAUGGGUACUGAGACACGGACCCAGGCCCUAUGGGGCGCAGCAGGCGAGAAACCUUAGCAAUGUGCGAAAGCACGACCGGGUCAGUCCGAGUGAUUGCUGAUAAAGUGAUCUUUUGCCCGUCCUAAAAUCUCGGGCGCAUAAGGGGUGGUCAUCUUUGGUGUCACCCUCCGCGAUAACAUAA
This 450-nucleotide ribosomal RNA is filed under the name uncultured archaeon. RNAcentral's name for it is "bacterial SSU rRNA". It matches the Rfam family "Archaeal small subunit ribosomal RNA", at positions 24 to 478 of the family's 1478-position model. The record is from RNAcentral.